This 428-nucleotide long non-coding RNA is filed under the name Melopsittacus undulatus (budgerigar). RNAcentral's name for it is "lncRNA (ENSMUNG00000021980.1)". The record is from RNAcentral. Lineage: Eukaryota; Metazoa; Chordata; Aves; Psittaciformes; Psittaculidae.
AUCCGAAGUAUGCUGGCCACAAGCUCACAAGAACUCAAAUUUCCACUUGGAUACCUUAUCUUUGAUGGCAGCAUGCAUGCCUGGCCAGAACAGAACACCUUGGGCUCUGUUCCUGCACUUCUCAAUACUCAAAUGGGCACUGUAGGUUAUACCUAGCAUUUCCAACCUCAUGUUGUGUGGUGUUAUGAUAAUGUCCUUUGUAUAGAAACCCAUCAUCUGCAGCAACCUCAUCUCUGUAGUCGCAAUAAGUUUUACAUAUGGAAGUGGCUGGGCUUUUUUUCUGCUAGAAUAACUCAUUCAGACUCCAGUAAGGUUGAGUCAUUCCAUUUUUCUCACUUAAGUUUGUCAACUUUUGUCUCCAAAAUGAAAAAUACUGAGUUGCAUUUACAUAAGACCCUUCAUCAUUGUUUUCGUUAUUGAGAGGUAGC